RNAcentral lists this unclassified non-coding RNA (1521 nucleotides) under uncultured fungus. RNAcentral's name for it is "sequence contains 18S rRNA gene, ITS1, 5.8S rRNA gene, ITS2, 28S rRNA gene". Lineage: Eukaryota; Fungi. The record is from RNAcentral.
CGCCGCAAUCGGACGCGAUCAAGGCAACCAUUCACGAUCCGGAGAUGUGCCGCCGGUAUAUGGCGACCGUAAUGACCGGCGUUAAACCCGGAAGCUCUCCGCUUUGGAUGCAGCGGCGCCUGACGAGCGUCGGGCAGCGGCCGAUUAACUUACUUGUCGAUUUAACGAACUACGUCAUGCUCGCGCUCGGGCAGCCGACGCAUGCCUUUGAUGCGCGCCAGCUGACGAACAACUCGAUUCACAUCCGCCGCGCCAAAGCAAAAGAAGUUCUCGAGCUCCUCGAUGGCACGAAGCUCGAGCUCACGCCGGAGAUGCUCGUCAUCGCCGACGAGAAACGCGCCGUCGCGCUCGCCGGGAUUAUGGGCGGGAUUAAUUCCGGGGUGCAGGGCGAUACCUCGACGGUUGUCCUCGAGAGCGCGAAUUUUAACGGAGUGAAUGUGCGACGCACGGCAACAGCCCUAGGCGUUCGCACCGAAAGCUCGACGCGUUUCGAUAAGGGCAUCGACUGCGAUCGGGCGGCGCUCGCUUCUCAACUUUUCGUUCACUUGUUGAAGGAGAUUCAGCCGCAGGUGCAAGUGACGGCUUCGGUCGAUGUCUUCCCGACACCGUAUCCCCCGCUUCGUGUCGAAGUCGGGCGGGAGUUCAUCGUCAACCGGAUCGGACGGGAAUUUUCUGUUGCCGAAAUACGAGCCCUCCUCGAGCGUCUAGGCUUUCGCGUCGAGGUAGCGGAAGACAAGUUCAGCGUGCAUGUGCCGGCCUGGCGCGCGACGGGGGAUGUCUCGAUCCCGGCCGACAUCGUCGAGGAAGUGGCGCGGCUCUUCGGUUAUGAUUCGCUCGAGUUCAUUCCGCCGCUGAUCUCGCUCACCUCGGCUGUGCGCCAACCGCAGUACGAUGUUGACGCGCAGUUGAGGAAGUUUCUCGCCUAUUCGGGUGGAAUGUUCGAAGUCUUCAGCUAUCCCUGGGCAGAUGAACGGUUUCUCAACGCGGCCGGGGUAACAGAGAUAGCGGCCCUGGCGUUACAGGAUCCGCCUUCGCCCGAAACUUCGCGUAUUGCGACGACACUGUUCCCGAAUCUCCUUGCGGCGGCCGAAAAAAAUCUUCGUCAUGAAAGCUCGUUUGGACUCUUUGAGGUGGCUCGAGUGUUUAGUGCCGAACAGUUUCGCUCCUGGAGCGCGGCCGAGGAAAAGCUUCCGGAACAGCCGAAGCAUGUUGCCGGUGUGCUCGUCGGCGCCGAUGAGAAAGAGGUCUUCCUUUCGUUGAAGGGAACUCUCGAGGCGAUGUUUCAAACGCUGUCGAUCGAACCUGUCGCGUCUUCAACCGAAGGUAAGUUUUCACCCUGGACCAUGCGCGCGGGUCGUAUGGCGCUUCUCGUCAGAGGGCAGCAAGUCGGGGAAAUCGCCGUCGUUUCACCAAAGACGCUUCGUGGCGCCGGAAUCGAGCGCGCGGCUGUCGCCGCGUUUGAAUUUGAUCUCGACGAGAUUCGCUGUCUCGAGUCGACUCCCGGGCGCUAUCAGCCGAUUC